Molecule: long non-coding RNA, 419 nt
Filed under: Calidris pugnax (ruff)
Lineage: Eukaryota; Metazoa; Chordata; Aves; Charadriiformes; Scolopacidae
Description: lncRNA (ENSCPUG00000019457.1)
Source: RNAcentral
UUAGAGUGUGUGCUAUAUGCAAGCUGUCAAAGCUGCUUUGUGUAGGUCUUCAAACUGUAUUUCAUGUCUUCCAGAAAGAUGAAGAUUUCAGGAGUUUGCAAGGAGUUUUUAAGAUCCUGCCCUGUUUCAGGUCUCCCAGAAGAAGAUGGCUGGGCAGGCUCAGCUCUGCUUUCUUGCUGGGCUUUUUUGGUGGCCUACGUCUCCAUUGGUGCACCUUGACUGCCCCGCUGAGAAGCUUUGGUGAGGACUUAGACCACCACUACAGAGCACCAUGGCAGAUCUUUUUUUUUCCUUUAAAUGAAAAGUAUGAAGUUUCCACAGGAAGCAGGAACAUUCUCCAAAAUUGUAAUUAUGUCAAAGAGAACACAUUUGGAUUAAAAUUCCUUAGGAGGUGGAUCUUUCACACAAGUGUUGGAUAA